GCUGUGUCCAUAGAAUAAGUGAUAAAGACUUUCCCUAAGAGAAAAUUUUCACAGUUGUUGAAAGCAAUCGAAUUAUUCUUUUUUACACAGCCAGUCUAUGUAGUAUGCAUUGCCUGUUGUGCUGGAGGGUGGUCCAAGGGCUUAUGCUUGUAGUAGUGUGGGUUGCUGUCCUCUGUGAGACGGGCUGGGAGCUGUCCAAGCGAGUACAUGCUGUCCAGAGUGAACAGAAGACAGAAGGGGCAGGGGAGAGUAAGGGCAGGCUCAGACAAGCCUUAGCGGGUCUUUGGAACGCCACAGGAGAUGUUACCACCCACAGCCCAAGUGGCCUUCAGCUCAAGCCACUGCCUUGUUUCUUAGAGACACUUGGCCCUGUGCCCAAGGAAAAUACUCUCCCAGCAGGCUAAGAAGCUAGGCUUGCUAAGGGGCCACCCAGCAGUGCCUGCUUUUGAUCUCUUGAUGCUCUCUGCUGCCCUGAACUCUUGCCUGACAAGACCAAGUAGGGGGUGGGAGAGGAUGUGUUUGCUUGCCCUGCCCCCUUUGGCUCAUUUUGGAGAGAGGUCAGGAAGCAGGAGUAGUCUGAUGCCCAGAUCAGAGACGUGAGUGCAGCUUCAGUGGUUUAAGGGGGACACAGUGCCUCAGGACAGUUCAGUGUUGCAGGUGGUCUCUUCUCUCACAAGCAAGCAAGGAGCCGUGGACAGAACUGUUGUGGACAGGCAUGCCUUAUCCAGCCAGAACCACUCUUUCCUCAGAUUAAAUAAAGUAUUGGAGAAACGUCUUCACUAGCAGUUUGCUGUGGUAGAUGAAUAAUCUCUAUAUGUUGCCUUUUAGUGUGGAAUGCAUCAGUUAAAAUCUCAAGAAACCCCGAGGCAGAGGAUUAAGAGAUACUGAAGAGAAGAUGAGUCUGUGUGCAUUUAUCUGUGCUUAGCCUGCUCCGAAUGGGAACUCAGCUCUCAAAUGAAGGUGUGUGUGGUAUGUGAUGGUGGAAGUAACCAGCAGCCAGGCAAAUGGCAGAGCGUGGCCCUUUUCCACCUCCAUGUGUAAUAAUUGCAGGACUCCCUUCCCAGGUAAGAUGACAGAAUAUUGGGACCGUAUGCCAUGUAAGCCCAUGUCUGUCCACUCAGAUAUUUUGUUUAAUUGAAGUAUAUAUGAUUUUAAAGUGCCUCAGAAACAGAUUUUUUGCGUGAAAACCAGAGUUAUCAUGGUCAUAGAAGUCUUCCAGAGCUGGAAGUGACUUCAAGUAGAGAUUCAACAAAAGCAAUUAGCAAAGCAAAGGGCUGGGCUUGGUUCUGAGUGUCCCAGUUCUGGAAAGAGCGAGCCUCUCUAGCAGAUGAUGAUUCAGAAGUAGUGACUGAUUGCUUAAGAUUUCUGGAACUAAGAAUCCUAGCUGGCCUCACUCUCAGAACAUUCUGGUGAUAUUUCAACAUGUCUGGUUCUAGCAGCAAAAUGUGGGGAACGAAUCACUGCCUGACAAUGAAUGGAAUAUUUCUUUAAAUAAAACUAAAUUUCUUGAGUUUGCAUCGGGGUGUGAAGCAGUAUGGGCGAUAUGAGACAGUUUUUGUUUUUGUUUUUUCAGACAAGACUGCUCACUCCUGCAGAAAAUGACCUUGUUCUUGAGAGCUGCUGCUAAUUUACAGUGAGGCACUAGGUUUCUACCCAGUGCCACGUGAGCAACCAAUCCAUCUACCCAGGGGCACGGCACUGACGAGCAGCAUCAUUUAGAAGGAAAGAAGUAUGGGUGGUGUUUGUUGUUUCCUGUGUGUUAAGGAAAAUCCAGUGAUGCACCAAGACUCAACACCUAGACCCACGAGAGUAGAUGCUCAGGAAAGAUUUGCUGACUGAACACAUGAUUGUGUCUACGCCUAGCAGUACUUUGUUGCGGGAUGGGCCCUGGCAGGGUUGGUAAAGCCCUCAUUUGUAGACAUGGAACCUCCCAGCUCCAGCCCUGCUAAGAACUGACAGAACUUGGCUAGCUCCAUGUUUUGUUCACGUGACUCUCAACCUGGUGUGGCCUGGACUCUAGUCCCUGCCUCAAGGAAAGUCCAGACUGACAUAGAAAAUCCCUGCUCACCAGCCUUGACCUUGGGAGAAAGCCCCUGACCUGUGAGUGGACAGAAGGCCUGGUGGUC
This 2126-nucleotide long non-coding RNA is filed under the name Mus musculus (house mouse). RNAcentral's name for it is "RIKEN cDNA E130307A14 gene". Lineage: Eukaryota; Metazoa; Chordata; Mammalia; Rodentia; Muridae. The record is from RNAcentral.